AAGUCGUAACAAGGUUUCCGUAGGUGAACCUGCGGAAGGAUCAUUAACACAAAUAAUACUAAAUUUUCGAACCCAAAUCCAUAUAACAUAUAAAUAAAAAGGUGGAGAUAAUUAUUAUUCAUUUAAUUUUUAUCAAAACCUAUAACUUUUAACCUUUAAUAACCCCUAACAAAAUAACUACUUGACUAAUAAACUGAUUGUAUCUCAUCUUAAGUUUAACUUAUUCUCCUGCAGAGAUCUUUAUUGAUCUUUACAGGAUUGAGUUUGUUAAAUGACGAGUUGAGUCCGAUCAAAGUUGUAUACGCAACAAAAAAAUACAACUCUUAACAAUGGAUAUCUUGGUUCUC
This 347-nucleotide unclassified non-coding RNA is filed under the name fungal sp. RNAcentral's name for it is "partial internal transcribed spacer region". The stretch from base 1 to 46 matches the Rfam family "Eukaryotic small subunit ribosomal RNA", at positions 1786 to 1831 of the family's 1831-position model. The record is from RNAcentral. RNAcentral also lists the same sequence under 1 other name. Lineage: Eukaryota; Fungi.